This 1129-nucleotide ribosomal RNA is filed under the name Escherichia coli. RNAcentral's name for it is "partial 23S ribosomal RNA". It matches the Rfam family "Bacterial large subunit ribosomal RNA", at positions 417 to 1551 of the family's 2925-position model. Lineage: Bacteria; Pseudomonadati; Pseudomonadota; Gammaproteobacteria; Enterobacterales; Enterobacteriaceae. The record is from RNAcentral.
GCGGGACACGUGGUAUCCUGUCUGAAUAUGGGGGGACCAUCCUCCAAGGCUAAAUACUCCUGACUGACCGAUAGUGAACCAGUACCGUGAGGGAAAGGCGAAAAGAACCCCGGCGAGGGGAGUGAAAAAGAACCUGAAACCGUGUACGUACAAGCAGUGGGAGCCUCUUAAUGGGGUGACUGCGUACCUUUUGUAUAAUGGGUCAGCGACUUAUAUUCUGUAGCAAGGUUAACCGAAUAGGGGAGCCGAAGGGAAACCGAGUCUUAACUGGGCGUUAAGUUGCAGGGUAUAGACCCGAAACCCGGUGAUCUAGCCAUGGGCAGGUUGAAGGUUGGGUAACACUAACUGGAGGACCGAACCGACUAAUGUUGAAAAAUUAGCGGAUGACUUGUGGCUGGGGGUGAAAGGCCAAUCAAACCGGGAGAUAGCUGGUUCUCCCCGAAAGCUAUUUAGGUAGCGCCUCGUGAAUUCAUCUCCGGGGGUAGAGCACUGUUUCGGCAAGGGGGUCAUCCCGACUUACCAACCCGAUGCAAACUGCGAAUACCGGAGAAUGUUAUCACGGGAGACACACGGCGGGUGCUAACGUCCGUCGUGAAGAGGGAAACAACCCAGACCGCCAGCUAAGGUCCCAAAGUCAUGGUUAAGUGGGAAACGAUGUGGGAAGGCCCAGACAGCCAGGAUGUUGGCUUAGAAGCAGCCAUCAUUUAAAGAAAGCGUAAUAGCUCACUGGUCGAGUCGGCCUGCGCGGAAGAUGUAACGGGGCUAAACCAUGCACCGAAGCUGCGGCAGCGACACUAUGUGUUGUUGGGUAGGGGAGCGUUCUGUAAGCCUGUGAAGGUGGCCUGUGAGGGUUGCUGGAGGUAUCAGAAGUGCGAAUGCUGACAUAAGUAACGAUAAAGCGGGUGAAAAGCCCGCUCGCCGGAAGACCAAGGGUUCCUGUCCAACGUUAAUCGGGGCAGGGUGAGUCGACCCCUAAGGCGAGGCCGAAAGGCGUAGUCGAUGGGAAACAGGUUAAUAUUCCUGUACUUGGUGUUACUGCGAAGGGGGGACGGAGAAGGCUAUGUUGGCCGGGCGACGGUUGUCCCGGUUUAAGCGUGUAGGCUGGUUUUCCAGGCAAAUCCGGAAAACC